GGUCGUGGCUCAGUGGUAGAGCGCUUGCAUAACACAUGUGAGGCACUGGGUUCGAUCCUCAGCACCA
RNAcentral lists this transfer RNA (67 nucleotides) under Marmota monax (woodchuck). RNAcentral's name for it is "tRNA.Val". The record is from RNAcentral. Lineage: Eukaryota; Metazoa; Chordata; Mammalia; Rodentia; Sciuridae.